UUUAUAUCUGUUACAUCUGUGAGAUUUUCCUUUGGUUAGAUCGUUUCCUUGCAUCUCUGUUCAGCUCAUUCAUGUUUUUAGUCACCACUCCCUGCGACAGGCAGCCCACAAUCAGCUUCAUCCGAAACAUACCGUUGGUCAUGCCAAGCCUGUCUACGGCUGUUCUGCCCAUGUCAAGUCUGCCUAUGUUUGUGUCUGCAUCUGCCACGUCCCACCUGCUUGCAACCGUCUCUUAACCAAACAUCUUCACCUGCAAGAAAAACUGCAGCUGAGAAAAUAUUGCAGAUGAAAUAACAUCUUUCUGGGUCAUCAACAACUUCAAGCCAAGAAUCACAAAGUGCUCAUUAGUGUCAGAGAGAGGAACACUUGAGUCAUUCAUCAAAUGAGCGACAGGAAGCAUGGUGACACUCUGCUCAGAUCAAACACACCAACUGCAGCAGAAAGCAGACAAACCUGAGCUCUUUAUUAGCUGCCCUUCAAAGGAAAACGUCCAACAACGCUCAACUUCACAAAAGAAGCCCAAUGUUCUCUUCAUUCCAGCAAUGAUUUAUUUUCCUCUUGUUCAUUUCUCAUUGCAGUAGGGAAAUGCUUGUCUCUUUGCAUGCCCAGAAAGUAAAGUUUUGUCCAGACAAACACGUUUCUUCACAUCUAACUUGAUUAUAAAGUAACACAUCAUAUAUUACUGUGAAACAAGCAGUAGGAGGUCAAGCAAGAAGUUGAUGAAGACUCUGAUGAACACUGUGUCUCAGCAUGACCUGAGCUGCCACCUGGACCUGCAUGUAAAUGACC
Molecule: long non-coding RNA, 789 nt
Organism: Girardinichthys multiradiatus
Lineage: Eukaryota; Metazoa; Chordata; Actinopteri; Cyprinodontiformes; Goodeidae
Exons: 4
Source: RefSeq, a predicted model, not a curated record